RNAcentral lists this ribosomal RNA (1499 nucleotides) under Campylobacter coli. RNAcentral's name for it is "partial 23S ribosomal RNA". It matches the Rfam family "Bacterial large subunit ribosomal RNA", at positions 1 to 1370 of the family's 2925-position model. Lineage: Bacteria; Pseudomonadati; Campylobacterota; Epsilonproteobacteria; Campylobacterales; Campylobacteraceae. The record is from RNAcentral.
AAAAAAGGUAAGCUACUAAGAGCGAAUGGUGGAUGCCUUGACUGGUAAAGGCGAUGAAGGACGUACUAGACUGCGAUAAGCUACGGGGAGCUGUCAAGAAGCUUUGAUCCGUAGAUUUCCGAAUGGGGCAACCCAAUGUAUAGAGAUAUACAUUACCUAUAUAGGAGCGAACGAGGGGAAUUGAAACAUCUUAGUACCCUCAGGAAAAGAAAUCAAUAGAGAUUGCGUCAGUAGCGGCGAGCGAAAGCGCAAGAGGGCAAACCCAGUGCUUGCACUGGGGGUUGUAGGACUGCAAUGUGCAAGAGGUGAGUUUAGCAGAACAUUCUGGAAAGUAUAGCCAUAGAGGGUGAUAGUCCCGUAUGCGAAAAACAAACCUUAGCUAGCAGUAUCCUGAGUAGGGCGGGACACGAGAAAUCCUGUCUGAAGCUGGGUCGACCACGAUCCAACCCUAAAUACUAAUACCAGAUCGAUAGUGCACAAGUACCGUGAGGGAAAGGUGAAAAGAACUGAGGUGAUCAGAGUGAAAUAGAACCUGAAACCAUUUGCUUACAAUCAUUCAGAGCCCUAUGUAGCAAUACAGGGUGAUGGACUGCCUUUUGCAUAAUGAGCCUGCGAGUUGUGGUGUCUGGCAAGGUUAAGCAAACGCGAAGCCGUAGCGAAAGCGAGUCUGAAUAGGGCGCUUAGUCAGAUGCUGCAGACCCGAAACGAAGUGAUCUAUCCAUGAGCAAGUUGAAGCUAGUGUAAGAACUAGUGGAGGACUGAACCCAUAGGCGUUGAAAAGCCCCGGGAUGACUUGUGGAUAGGGGUGAAAGGCCAAUCAAACUUCGUGAUAGCUGGUUCUCUCCGAAAUAUAUUUAGGUAUAGCGUUGUGUCGUAAUAUAAGGGGGUAGAGCACUGAAUGGGCUAGGGCAUACACCAAUGUACCAAACCCUAUCAAACUCCGAAUACCUUAUAUGUAAUCACAGCAGUCAGGCGGCGAGUGAUAAAAUCCGUCGUCAAGAGGGAAACAACCCAGACUACCAGCUAAGGUCCCUAAAUCUUACUUAAGUGGAAAACGAUGUGAAGUUACUUAAACAACCAGGAGGUUGGCUUAGAAGCAGCCAUCCUUUAAAGAAAGCGUAAUAGCUCACUGGUCUAGUGAUUUUGCGCGGAAAAUAUAACGGGGCUAAAGUAAGUACCGAAGCUGUAGACUUGCGCACAACUUAGAUUAUUUAAGUUUAGAAUAUGAGAAACUAAGUUAUAUGUUUAGUUAUAUUUUUACUGAUUUUUAUAGAGUAAAGAUAGAAAUAAAACUUAGUAAAAUCAGUAAAAAUAUUCUUAGACUAAAGUUAAGUAGUUUAAGUUGUGUGCAAGUGGUAGGAGAGCGUUCUAUUUGCGUCGAAGGUAUACCGGUAAGGAGUGCUGGAGCGAAUAGAAGUGAGCAUGCAGGCAUGAGUAGCGAUAAUUAAUGUGAGAAUCAUUAACGCCGUAAACCCAAGGUUUCCUACGCGAUGCUCGUC